GUAGGCAUAUCAUUGGAAGAUUGACCAUAAGAGACUACAUUUACCAGGGGUCCGCCCGGUGUCCUGUGUCGAAAUUAUUGCGUAAUCUCUAGGUCCAUGUGCGUUCCAUUUCUUCAGAAGAGAAAGUCAACUGCUGGAUUUAUCGUCGAUAGAUAUGUGAAAAACACCUUGAGGAUUGAUUCUAAACAUCGGUUUGCCAUGUUUCUGUCGAUAUUAUGGAGUUAAUUUUGAAAAAAGUUUGCGGUUUAAUUACUUAAUUUUCGUUUUUUUUCUUACCCAAACGUGAUGGAGAAAACGGAGCGAAUAGUCAACACAAAUAAUCUUUUUGUAAAAACUGAACAUUUGCAAUCUAACUGAGAGUCUCCUCAUUGAAAACAUCUGAAGUUCUUCAAAGUUCUUCAAAGGGCUCAGACCACACAGACACCAUGGUUGGACAUGAGGGCUGUCUGACUCUCCCUCCUCCGGUCCUUCUUCCGCCCCAGCCGGACCCUCCAACAGCCGGCACUGGACCCCAGUAGAGCCAGCCCGGCCGAUAGCAGAACCAGCCCCAGCACCGAGAUGGUGGAGCCGUGUGAGUUGAACAUGUACGCCACAGCAGUUACCACAAUACCGGCAAUGAGGACCACCACGCCGAAUGGCACUGUGCACCGGUAGCACGACAUCUCCGCCCCACCUGUGGCCGCUGUCAGCUGCAUCUCGUUGAUUAACGGGACAGUCGUCACGACGACGCUACAGUCCUUCUUGUUGUUGUUGGAUUUCUCUGUGGGGACUUUCUCGGAGGUUGAUGUUGGCAUUUUCAUGGCGCUUCUUGGGACUUUCGGUGAGUUUCUGCUGAUGGGGUCGUCUGGCAUAGAGAUUUUGUUAGCUAGGAAAUGGUGGGCCAUCUUAAUUUUCAGUGGUCAACCUGUUGAGUCUAUCAAUCAGUGUGGCGUACAGAGAGAGAAAAAUACAUUUUAGUCAUAUUGAAAACAAAACAGAGAAAACCCUGACUACACUUUAAGGAUUAGCACAAAAAUAAAGGAUGUCAGCAGUUCAAAUUUACUGAAUUACAGUGAGUUGAGGUAUGUCUCUAAAUUGAAGCCUGUUCCCAUUGAAAUGAAAGAUCUCUGUGCCAAUGUCUAUGCCCUGGCAGUAAUAUUUCCACCGGAUGCAUUGUUGGCAGUUGGACGUGAGGCAUCGACAGUGCGCAACAUAACUGUCAAAUUUCCCAGAGAAAGGCAGCUAACAUUAUGACACCUCUGUGAAACAGGAGCCAACCAAUUUGAUAAACAGUCCGCUCUAAUGAUGAAAUAAAUAAUGUAGCCUAAAGCUGUAAAAAAACGCUAUGAUCCCAGCUAGCACAUUUGGUUCCUUGGAAGUUGUGGGAACGUAUGGUUUUGGUUUCACAUUGGUUGUGGGAAUGAAGCCAAACAUUUCCUGACUGGUAAAACUGAACAUUUUGCUUGCUCUGUGAAAAUGUAUUUGGAGGUUACAAGGAGGUUCUGAGAACGUUUUACUCUGGAAGUGUCACGUUCUGACCUUUAUUUCCUUUGUUUUGUAUUUAUUUAGUAUGGUCAGGGCGUGAGUUGGGUGGGCAGUCUAUGUUUGUUUUUCUAUGAUUUGGGUAUUUCUAUGUUUCGGCCUAGUAUGGUUCUCAAUCAGAGGCAGGUGUCAUUAGUUGUCUCUGAUUGAGAAUCAUACUUAGGUAGCCUGGUUUGCACUGUUUGUUUGUGGGUGAUUGUCUAUGUUGAUGGCUUGUUUCAGCGCAGCUCGCAUUAGCUUCACGGUUGUUAUUUUGUUUACUGUUUUUGUAUAGUGUUUCAGUGUUCAGUUCUUUCUUUAAUUAAACAUUCAACAUGAACACAUAUCACGCUGCAUUUUGGUCCUCCGAUCCUUCUCGCCUCUCCUCUUCAGAUGAAGAGGAGGACGACCGUGACAGGAAGGUUCUAAGAAAGUUUUCCUGGGAGGUUUUAUUAAUGUUCUGACAAUGCAAAUUAUAGGUUAUUUGAAGGUAAUUUAAUAACAUUCUGAGAAUAUUUUCUAAAUAUUUUUAAAGUUUUGUAGUGGUUAUUAUUGAAAGUUUUCUUAACACUCUAAGAACGAAAUUUCGAGGUUUUUGAAUAACUUUCUAAAAACCUUCACUGAAUGGUCCAAUAAGACAUAUUUUGGGUAGGACAUUAAUUUGUUUAGGUAUUAAUCAUGUAAACUGUUUUAAAAAAAUCUGAUACAGCAUAAUUGAGAUUUGAACCUGUGUGCUCCUGUUCUCUAUCACUGGAAUGUGUCCACUGCACCACCAGGAUAAAGUUAGGAUGCUGUGUUUUGUUACGCAUACAAAGCUGUACAUUUAGUCUAUUCAAACAGAACCCAUUUCAAAGGAAACAAUCACUCCAUAAGAUCAGGUGUGGCCAAAUAGUAAGCGCAGGCAACACACCUGAACACAUUUAACCAAGAUAGAGGCUAGAGAGAUUUUUGUUGAUGCUGAGAACAGAAUAUAUAUGUUUUUAAAUAACAAUCUUAGAACGUUUUCUGAACAUUGCUUAAGUUUUCUUGUGUUUUUUUAGGGAAAGUUUUGUUUAUUUUCUGAGAACGGAAUUUAGAGACAAUUGAUGUGGAUGUUUUUCUUUUACAUUUCUUUAUUGCAAAGAACUAGCAUAAAAGAGAACCAUACAUUCUCAGAAAGUUCUGAAAACAUUGCUUAAAUAUAACUUUUUUUCAUUAGUCCACUGUUGAUACAGUCCCAAAAUGCUUUGCAUGUCAGCAGUCAAGUUUAUCAGAUAUUGGACUUUCAAGAAGCAAAGAGUCAUCAUAUGCUGCAAAAUGCAAUAGUUAUUUUGUGGAUUUAGAACGUUCCCCGAAUGUAAUAAAAAUAUGACAUUAAAUACAGUGGCUUGCAAAAGUA
Long non-coding RNA from Oncorhynchus nerka (sockeye salmon), 2878 nucleotides. RefSeq lists it as uncharacterized. NCBI's taxonomy places the organism in Eukaryota, Metazoa, Chordata, Actinopteri, Salmoniformes, Salmonidae. The record is from RefSeq and is a predicted model, not a curated record. The transcript is spliced from 2 exons.